Molecule: unclassified non-coding RNA, 152 nt
Filed under: uncultured Pleosporales
Lineage: Eukaryota; Fungi; Ascomycota; Dothideomycetes; Pleosporales
Description: sequence contains ITS1
Source: RNAcentral
CUGAGUAAUUGGGUCUUUAUGGCCUAUAACUCCCACCCUUUUGUUUACUAUACCAAUAUUUAAAGUUGCUUUGGUAGGAACCUAGGCUUACCAUUGGAACUCUUUUUAAAACUCUUGAAUUGAGUCGUCUGAGAAUAAAUUCAAAUGAAUUA